Molecule: transfer RNA, 67 nt
Filed under: Aenasius arizonensis
Lineage: Eukaryota; Metazoa; Arthropoda; Insecta; Hymenoptera; Encyrtidae
Description: tRNA-Arg
Source: RNAcentral
AAUAAAUGAAUCUAAAAUAGAAAUUAAUUUCGGCUUAAUCUUAGAUAAUUAAAAUUUAUCCAUUUAU